UACGAAGGGGGCUAGCGUUGCUCGGAAUCACUGGGCGUAAAGCGCACGCAGGCGGAUCGUUAAGUCAGGGGUGAAAUCCCGAGGCUCAACCUCGGAACUGCCUUUGAUACUGGCGAUCUUUGAGUCCGGGAGAGGUGAGUGGAACUCCGAGUGUAGAGGUGAAAUUCGUAGAUAUUCGGAAGAACACCAGUGGCGAAGGCGGCUCACUGGCCCGGUACUGACGCUCAGGUGCGAAAGCGUGGGGAGCAAACAGG
Molecule: ribosomal RNA, 254 nt
Filed under: uncultured bacterium
Lineage: Bacteria
Description: partial 16S ribosomal RNA
Rfam family: Bacterial small subunit ribosomal RNA
Source: RNAcentral